AUUUGAAUGAUAAUAAAAAUAUUUUGUUGAUAAAUUAUGUAAAUACUAGUUAAAUUAGAAGACUUCAAAGUAAAGUCCAUUCACAAAUGACACAUUACAGUUAUUUGCAGCUAGAAUCCUCUCUUCCGCGGGUCGAUGCAAUUCUUGCAGGCCUUAGGAGCAAGAUCACCUCUGCAGAGUAAAAGACCGUAAACCCUGUCUGGGUAUUCUCCUUCAGUUGCGCGAAGAAGCCCGAAAGACCCCUGUAAUUGUAGAGCGGCCGUAUGAGGACAUUGAGGUUACUGUGAAAUUCGCUAUGCGAAGUGCAGAUAGAGUCGUUGUUGCAAAUUGUGUAGAUGUAAAGAGGUUGGAGAGCUCGCUGAAGCACAAGAGGCAACGAGGCGCCGCCAUGGACAUACGGGGAACAGAAAGGUCGGGGGCUUUCUACUCUACACCUGCUUUCUAUUUCUGUUUGAUUAUUUACACCGACCCCUUGCUCCCUUAUAUUAACUAGCGGGAUUUUCAUCAACAAAAGUAGAUUGCACAUCUUCUGUUUGAUUAAAUACCUCAGUGAAUCUCCAUUAACAAAAGCAGGUUGCCCACUGUCCGUUUGAUUAAACUUAAUAGUUAGCGGUAUUUUCAUGAACGAAAGAUGAUUGCUGUUAUAGUCCUCCAUGGAAUGUGUGUGUAGUACAAAAAUCUUGAAUUAUUAGGUUGAUUUGAGGUCCAAAAUGUCUUGGCCAUGUUACAUGAGAAUCUUGGCAAACAUUUCAAGAUAACCAUUCUUUUGACGUGCAUAUAAAAUAAUAUACGAAGAAUAAUCAUAUUUUUAACACAAAAAUGUUCUCUCUCAUAUUUAGGGGCUUGAAAUUUGGACUUGAAAUUUAGAUUCUUGUGAAUUUUUGAAUUAAAUACAAUAUAAAAUUACAGUAACCUUGCAUCUGGGAAUACAUAUUUCACAUCUUGAAUUUGUAUUUGUGUUGAAUUAGACAAAACAUAGUAUAAAAUUAUAUUUAGUUUGUUCCAAAUCUAUACAAAUCCAAAUCAAAGGCUUGAAAUUCAUGUCCCCAAACACUGCCUAAGUUUCAUCUAAUAAAUCAAAUUUAAGGUUUGAAAUUCAUGCUUCUAAAUGCAACCUAAGAGAAUCCAUACCAAAUUAAAUCUAUGUCCUAAAAUUUUGAACCAUUAUAACUAAUGCGAAAAAAUCCAACUCAUAAUAAUAAUACUUUCACAUUUUUUUUUUGCAUCUUAUUUAUAAUUGUAAUUUAUUGUUAUAGUUAUUAUAUUAGUGUGAUAUAAUACUAUAUUAUUGGUUUGUUCAUGACUAUUGAUGGGACAUUGUAGUCCCCAAAACAUGGAAUUUCCAUCAAAAUUCCCAUGGGAGAGCAUGAAAAAUGGGAUUUUAACAUUUUGAGGGCAUAUUUCCAUCUCAAUGAAUGUAAACUUACUGAUAUCUCACUUUCCUGUUCUAAAACAAACAUUGUCAUAUCACUUCCCCGAAAAUGUUAAAAGAUCCCGCAAACCAACUGGCCUUUAAGGCUUAAUUGUCAAAAGCAAAACACCUGCAGCCUCCACGGUUCGUAGUUAGACCAAAAUUACCUUUCAAAUUGCAGGUGCUAUGAAGCCUCCUAGAGUCUGCAUUCAGCUUAUUAUAAUCCUGUGGAGACCUCAGAUAAAUAAGACAUCUUCUUUAUAUAUAUGUUUAGAAUGGCAAAUCAAGUCUCUGAAGCUACCACAUAAUGUGACUAAAUGGAUUGCAGAAUGCAUGGUCCAUGGAAAUGUUCCCUUGAUUCUAGUCAUUGAACAUCUCCAAUGAUUUUCAUUCACUGCCCUCUGCGCAUUCUGUUUGGUAUCAAGUAUCGAAUCUUGUGUCGCUUCAUUGGUCAAUGCCAAGAGACUCCUAUUUGCAUGUCUAUUCCAGCCACUUUCAUAUGGGAAAUGUGGAGGGAGCAUAGUGACAAAAAUUUUCAAGAAUCCAACUGCAGCUAUUUCUUCAUUGUUGCACAGUUUAUUCUUAGAGAAGACUUGAAGGCAACAAUCCUCCUGUCAGAUGGGCAGAUUUCCUUCAUCCUCUCCCCUGCUUGCUAUGUAAAAUAGCACUGUAAUUGGGCUUCAAGGUUAGCAUGCCCACUGUAGUGCAGCAUUUUGGUCAGCUCUCAUUUCUUGCAUGUGUGUUUGACACUCUGCAAUUUUCUUUUGGGUGUUGGCUAUCAAGCUACUUGCUUGCUAUUCCUUUUUACAGCCUUUAUCCUUGUACAACAUUCUGUUUUUAAAAAACCAUUUUAGGUUUUUAAAACAGACAAAGCGCUUCCAUCAGACAUUCUUCUAGUGAAAUAUAUGGGCAAGGACUUUAUUGGCAGGAUUUUCCUCACAGCUGCUAGCCAAGAAAUCGAGAAUCAAAGCAAGAACCAAGAUGGGAUUAUAUGGGGAUAAUGCACACAGCUGGGUUGUUCUGAUCGCCAUUUGUGUCCUGAUUUUUGUAGCAGUGUUUCUUAUUAGCUCUGUCUACUCGAAACUUAUGAUGAGAAAAGGAAAACAUCAAGAUGAAGAGAAAAGUGGACAUGCAUCUUUACAUAAUUUGGCGAUUGUCCACUGCUCCUGCAGCCCCCCAAGAAAAUGAUACUGAUAGUCCUCAAGAAUUACUUUAGGCAACAUAAAUUUCGGGUCGAGAAUUUAGAUUUGUAUAGAUUUGAAAGAAAUUUAAUAUUAUUUUAUAUGAUAUUUUGUUCAAAAUCAUACAAAUUGAAAUUACAAAAGAUUCAAAAUUCAUACACUCAAAA
Long non-coding RNA from Malania oleifera, 2759 nucleotides. RefSeq lists it as uncharacterized. NCBI's taxonomy places the organism in Eukaryota, Viridiplantae, Streptophyta, Magnoliopsida, Santalales, Ximeniaceae. The transcript has 4 exons. The record is from RefSeq and is a predicted model, not a curated record.